GCCUCUUUAGCUCAGUGGUAGAGCACUGGUUUUCUAAACUAGUGGUCGUGAGUUCAAUUCUCACAGGGGCA
This 71-nucleotide transfer RNA is filed under the name Blattella germanica (German cockroach). RNAcentral's name for it is "tRNA-Arg (TCT) (tRNA-Arg-TCT-31-1)". It matches the Rfam family "tRNA". From Rfam's summary of the family: Transfer RNA (tRNA) molecules are approximately 80 nucleotides in length. Their secondary structure includes four short double-helical elements and three loops (D, anti-codon, and T loops). Further hydrogen bonds mediate the characteristic L-shaped molecular structure. tRNAs have two regions of fundamental functional importance: the anti-codon, which is responsible for specific mRNA codon recognition, and the 3' end, to which the tRNAs corresponding amino acid is attached (by aminoacyl-tRNA synthetases). tRNAs cope with the degeneracy of the genetic code in two manners: having more than one tRNA (with a specific anti-codon) for a particular amino acid; and 'wobble' base-pairing, i.e. permitting non-standard base-pairing at the 3rd anti-codon position. The record is from RNAcentral. Lineage: Eukaryota; Metazoa; Arthropoda; Insecta; Blattodea; Blattellidae.